CAAUACGUGCAGGCAAUUAGACUGAUGAACUGGGUGAAGCAGAUCGAACAAAUGUUGUCGUCUUAUACUUUAGAAGCUCCUCAUCAUCAACCUCCUCACUGAAUCUUGCACCUAUUGAAGAUCAAGUACAAUCUAUAUCCACCAUUCCACAGUCGUUGUCUAUGGUACAAACUGUUCCUGUGGAAGGCAGAAUAUCGCUUCCCGAUCAUUCUCAAUCAUUUUACUUGCUUGCCUGUUCAAACUGCAAUCACUAUGUACGUCCUAAAAUAAAAAAUGGUCCACUGCUUCAACUAUAAACUACACAGGCCAUUGGUCCCCAAGUAACUACAAACUUUACUGCAGCUCAGUUUCUUAAAAUUGAGUUCAUUCACUGUCGAAGAAUUCAUAAAUUUAGGGAAUUGUUUGAAAUGAUAUUACAUUUGGAACUAAAAGUAUUUGCAAAUUUGAUGAAUGAGAGAGAGCAGUUCAAGUUGAAAUGAGGUUUCACACUAUAUAACAGGUAUUAGAAAAACCUACAUUUGAGAAACUGUAUUUGGGAUUCGAUAGAAAUUCAUCCAUGAUUUCUUUGUUCUCAGUUGCUAUAUUUUACAUUUUAUACUACUAUGGACACUGUCACCCAAAGCAUUGUGCCCUUUGUUUCGUAAAAUGAACAUAACCUUGGUUGUUCUUAAAAGCUCUGUUCUGUCUCCAUCCAGGUGUGCCUAUAGCAAAUUGCGUUUCAACCUAGCUAUUGAGUCACAAUGAGUUAAUUUGCUCGAAAACAGUCAACUGGGACAAGCUUAUCCGUGUGUUUCA
This is a long non-coding RNA of Capsicum annuum, 795 nucleotides long. RefSeq lists it as uncharacterized. Lineage: Eukaryota; Viridiplantae; Streptophyta; Magnoliopsida; Solanales; Solanaceae. The record is from RefSeq and is a predicted model, not a curated record. The transcript is spliced from 3 exons.